UUAUUGGAGAGUUUGAUCCUGGCUCAGGACGAACGCUGGCGGCGUGCCUAAUACAUGCAAGUCGAGCGAGUCUCUUCGGAGGCUAGCGGCGGACGGGUGAGUAACACGUAGGCAACCUGCCUC
RNAcentral lists this ribosomal RNA (123 nucleotides) under Brevibacillus centrosporus. Its description in RNAcentral is "partial 16S ribosomal RNA". It matches the Rfam family "Bacterial small subunit ribosomal RNA", at positions 1 to 132 of the family's 1533-position model. Lineage: Bacteria; Bacillati; Bacillota; Bacilli; Caryophanales; Paenibacillaceae. The record is from RNAcentral.